GGGUUGUGAGGUUAAGCGACUAAGCGUACACGGUGGAUGCCCUGGCAGUCAGAGGCGAUGAAGGACGUGCUAAUCUGCGAUAAGCGUCGGUAAGGUGAUAUGAACCGUUAUAACCGGCGAUUUCCGAAUGGGGAAACCCAGUGUGUUUCGACACACUAUCAUUAACUGAAUCCAUAGGUUAAUGAGGCGAACCGGGGGAACUGAAACAUCUAAGUACCCCGAGGAAAAGAAAUCAACCGAGAUUCCCCCAGUAGCGGCGAGCGAACGGGGAGCAGCCCAGAGCCUGAAUCAGUGUGUGUGUUAGUGGAAGCGUCUGGAAAGGCGCGCGAUACAGGGUGACAGCCCCGUACACAAAAAUGCACAUGCUGUGAGCUCGAUGAGUAGGGCGGGACACGUGGUAUCCUGUCUGAAUAUGGGGGGACCAUCCUCCAAGGCUAAAUACUCCUGACUGACCGAUAGUGAACCAGUACCGUGAGGGAAAGGCGAAAAGAACCCCGGCGAGGGGAGUGAAAAAGAACCUGAAACCGUGUACGUACAAGCAGUGGGAGCACGCUUAGGCGUGUGACUGCGUACCUUUUGUAUAAUGGGUCAGCGACUUAUAUUCUGUAGCAAGGUUAACCGAAUAGGGGAGCCGAAGGGAAACCGAGUCUUAACUGGGCGUUAAGUUGCAGGGUAUAGACCCGAAACCCGGUGAUCUAGCCAUGGGCAGGUUGAAGGGUGGGUAACACUAACUGGAGGACCGAACCGACUAAUGUUGAAAAAUUAGCGGAUGACUUGUGGCUGGGGGUGAAAGGCCAAUCAAACCGGGAGAUAGCUGGUUCUCCCCGAAAGCUAUUUAGGUAGCGCCUCGUGAAUUCAUCUCCGGGGGUAGAGCACUGUUUCGGCAAGGGGGUCAUCCCGACUUACCAACCCGAUGCAAACUGCGAAUACCGGAGAAUGUUAUCACGGGAGACACACGGCGGGUGCUAACGUCCGUCGUGAAGAGGGAAACAACCCAGACCGCCAGCUAAGGUCCCAAAGUCAUGGUUAAGUGGGAAACGAUGUGGGAAGGCCCAGACAGCCAGGAUGUUGGCUUAGAAGCAGCCAUCAUUUAAAGAAAGCGUAAUAGCUCACUGGUCGAGUCGGCCUGCGCGGAAGAUGUAACGGGGCUAAACCAUGCACCGAAGCUGCGGCAGCGACGCUGAUGCGUUGUUGGGUAGGGGAGCGUUCUGUAAGCCUGCGAAGGUGUGCUGUGAGGCAUGCUGGAGGUAUCAGAAGUGCGAAUGCUGACAUAAGUAACGAUAAAGCGGGUGAAAAGCCCGCUCGCCGGAAGACCAAGGGUUCCUGUCCAACGUUAAUCGGGGCAGGGUGAGUCGACCCCUAAGGCGAGGCCGAAAGGCGUAGUCGAUGGGAAACAGGUUAAUAUUCCUGUACUUGGUGUUACUGCGAAGGGGGGACGGAGAAGGCUAUGUUGGCCGGGCGACGGUUGUCCCGGUUUAAGCGUGUAGGCUGGUUUUCCAGGCAAAUCCGGAAAAUCAAGGCUGAGGCGUGAUGACGAGGCACUACGGUGCUGAAGCAACAAAUGCCCUGCUUCCAGGAAAAGCCUCUAAGCAUCAGGUAACAUCAAAUCGUACCCCAAACCGACACAGGUGGUCAGGUAGAGAAUACCAAGGCGCUUGAGAGAACUCGGGUGAAGGAACUAGGCAAAAUGGUGCCGUAACUUCGGGAGAAGGCACGCUGAUAUGUAGGUGAGGUCCCUCGCGGAUGGAGCUGAAAUCAGUCGAAGAUACCAGCUGGCUGCAACUGUUUAUUAAAAACACAGCACUGUGCAAACACGAAAGUGGACGUAUACGGUGUGACGCCUGCCCGGUGCCGGAAGGUUAAUUGAUGGGGUUAGCGCAAGCGAAGCUCUUGAUCGAAGCCCCGGUAAACGGCGGCCGUAACUAUAACGGUCCUAAGGUAGCGAAAUUCCUUGUCGGGUAAGUUCCGACCUGCACGAAUGGCGUAAUGAUGGCCAGGCUGUCUCCACCCGAGACUCAGUGAAAUUGAACUCGCUGUGAAGAUGCAGUGUACCCGCGGCAAGACGGAAAGACCCCGUGAACCUUUACUAUAGCUUGACACUGAACAUUGAGCCUUGAUGUGUAGGAUAGGUGGGAGGCUUAGAAGUGUGGACGCCAGUCUGCAUGGAGCCGACCUUGAAAUACCACCCUUUAAUGUUUGAUGUUCUAACGUUGACCCGUAAUCCGGGUUGCGGACAGUGUCUGGUGGGUAGUUUGACUGGGGCGGUCUCCUCCUAAAGAGUAACGGAGGAGCACGAAGGUUGGCUAAUCCUGGUCGGACAUCAGGAGGUUAGUGCAAUGGCAUAAGCCAGCUUGACUGCGAGCGUGACGGCGCGAGCAGGUGCGAAAAGCAGGUCAUAGUGAUCCGGUGGUUCUGAAUGGAAGGGCCAUCGCUCAACGGAUAAAAGGUACUCCGGGGAUAACAGGCUGAUACCGCCCAAGAGUUCAUAUCGACGGCGGUGUUUGGCACCUCGAUGUCGGCUCAUCACAUCCUGGGGCUGAAGUAGGUCCCAAGGGUAUGGCUGUUCGCCAUUUAAAGUGGUACGCGAGCUGGGUUUAGAACGUCGUGAGACAGUUCGGUCCCUAUCUGCCGUGGGCGCUGGAGAACUGAGGGGGGCUGCUCCUAGUACGAGAGGACCGGAGUGGACGCAUCACUGGUGUUCGGGUUGUCAUGCCAAUGGCACUGCCCGGUAGCUAAAUGCGGAAGAGAUAAGUGCUGAAAGCAUCUAAGCACGAAACUUGCCCCGAGAUGAGUUCUCCCUGACCCUUUAAGGGUCCUGAAGGAACGUUGAAGACGACGACGUUGAUAGGCCGGGUGUGUAAGCGCAGCGAUGCGUUGAGCUAACCGGUACUAAUGAACCGUGAGGCUUAACCUUACAACGCCGAAGCUGUU
This 2931-nucleotide ribosomal RNA is filed under the name Escherichia coli. Its description in RNAcentral is "23S ribosomal RNA". It matches the Rfam family "Bacterial large subunit ribosomal RNA". Lineage: Bacteria; Pseudomonadati; Pseudomonadota; Gammaproteobacteria; Enterobacterales; Enterobacteriaceae. The record is from RNAcentral.